RNAcentral lists this ribosomal RNA (406 nucleotides) under uncultured bacterium. Its description in RNAcentral is "partial 16S ribosomal RNA". It matches the Rfam family "Bacterial small subunit ribosomal RNA", at positions 28 to 526 of the family's 1533-position model. The record is from RNAcentral.
GACGAACGCUGGCGGCGUGCCUAAUACAUGCAAGUCGAACGAGCGGCGGACGGGUGAGUAAUGUCUGGGAAACUGCCUGAUGGCGGGGGAUAACUACUGGAAACGGUAGCUAAUACCGCAUACCAUCAGAUGUGCCCAGAUGGGAUUAGCUAGUAGGUGGGGUAACGGCUCACCUAGGCGACGAUCCCUAGCUGGUCUGAGAGGAUGACCAGCCACACGGGAACUGAGACACGGUCCAGACUCCUACGGGAGGCAGCAGUGGGGAAUAGUGCACAAUGGGCGCAAGCCUGAUGCAGCCAUGCCGCGUGUAUGAAGAAGGCCGUCGGGUUGUAAAGUACUUUCAGCGGGGAGGCGUUACCCGCAGAAGAAGCACCGGCUAACUACGUGCCAGCAGCCGCGGUAAUAC